GGUCCAAUAGUCUAGUGGUUAUGACAUCUGUCUUACAUUCGGUCGUAUAGUUGUAUACACAGAAGGUCUCCGGUUCGACCCCGGAUUGGACCA
Non-coding RNA from Schizophyllum commune H4-8, 93 nucleotides. NCBI's taxonomy places the organism in Eukaryota, Fungi, Basidiomycota, Agaricomycetes, Agaricales, Schizophyllaceae. The record is from Rfam.